GAUGAACGCUGGCGGCGUGCCUAAUACAUGCAAGUCGAGCGAACGGACGAGAAGCUUGCUUCUCUGAUGUUAGCGGCGGACGGGUGAGUAACACGUGGAUAACCUACCUAUAAGACUGGGAUAACUUCGGGAAACCGGAGCUAAUACCGGAUAAUAUUUUGAACCGCAUGGUUCAAAAGUGAAAGACGGUCUUGCUGUCACUUAUAGAUGGAUCCGCGCUGCAUUAGCUAGUUGGUAAGGUAACGGCUUACCAAGGCAACGAUGCAUAGCCGACCUGAGAGGGUGGUCGGCCACACUGGAACUGAGACAGGGUCCAGACUCCUACGGGAGGCAGCAGUAGGGAAUCUUACGCAAAGGGCGAAAGCCUGACGGUGCAACGCCGCGGGAGUGAUGAAGGUCUUCGGAUCGUAAAACUCUGUUAUUAGGGAAGAACAUAUGUGUAAGUAACUGUGCACAUCUUGACGGUACCUAAUCAAAAAGCCACGGCUAACUACGUG
RNAcentral lists this ribosomal RNA (497 nucleotides) under uncultured bacterium. RNAcentral's name for it is "partial 16S ribosomal RNA". It matches the Rfam family "Bacterial small subunit ribosomal RNA", at positions 28 to 507 of the family's 1533-position model. The record is from RNAcentral.